UUCACUGAGCUCCUGAGAGUAGCCCAUUCUCUCAGAAAUAUUUGUGAAAAAAAAUCUGCAGGCAUACAUGUAGGUGCUACCUCUAGGGGUACGCGAGCACACUGCAGGGGGUACUUGGAAACAUGUCAUUAUUAUAAGAAAUGUAUGGAGCAGUCAUAUCAGGACAGAGAAAGCGAUAUAGUAUAAUUAGGGUUAGUCAUGGCACAACUAAGAUGCUUAGGGGGUACGCAAGACAAAAAAGGUUGGGAAACAAUUAGAGAUGCACCGGCUCCUGAUUUUUAGGAUCCUGCCGGAUACCGGAUCCACUGCUUAAGAUCCUGCCGGAUCCGGAACCGGAUAC
This is a long non-coding RNA of Engraulis encrasicolus (European anchovy), 340 nucleotides long. RefSeq lists it as uncharacterized. The transcript is spliced from 2 exons. NCBI's taxonomy places the organism in Eukaryota, Metazoa, Chordata, Actinopteri, Clupeiformes, Engraulidae. The record is from RefSeq and is a predicted model, not a curated record.